This 713-nucleotide ribosomal RNA is filed under the name uncultured bacterium. RNAcentral describes it as "bacterial SSU rRNA". It matches the Rfam family "Bacterial small subunit ribosomal RNA", at positions 1 to 719 of the family's 1533-position model. The record is from RNAcentral.
AUUAGAGUUUGAUCCUGGCUCAGGAUGAACGCUAGCGGCAGGCCUAACACAUGCAAGUCGAGGGGUAGUUACUUUCGGGUAAUGAGACCGGCGCACGGGUGCGUAACGCGUAUGCAAUCUACCUUUUACAGGGGAAUAGCCCAGAGAAAUUUGGAUUAAUGCCCCAUAAUAUAUGUUUUUCGCAUGUUAGACAUAUUAAAGUUCCAACGGUAAAAGAUGAGCAUGCGUCCCAUUAGUUAGUUGGUAAGGUAACGGCUUACCAAGACGAUGAUGGGUAGGGGUCCUGAGAGGGAGAUCCCCCACACUGGUACUGAGACACGGACCAGACUCCUACGGGAGGCAGCAGUGAGGAAUAUUGGACAAUGGGCGCAAGCCUGAUCCAGCCAUGCCGCGUGCAGGAAGACGGUCCUAUGGAUUGUAAACUGCUUUUGUACGGGAAGAAACACUCCUACGUAUAGGAGCUUGACGGUACCGUAAGAAUAAGGAUCGGCUAACUCCGUGCCAGCAGCCGCGGUAAUACGGAGGAUCCAAGCGUUAUCCGGAAUCAUUGGGUUUAAAGGGUCCGUAGGCGGUUUAGUAAGUCAGUGGUGAAAGCCCAUCGCUCAACGAUGGAACGGCCAUUGAUACUGCUAGACUUGAAUUACAAGGAAGUAACUAGAAUAUGUAGUGUAGCGGUGAAAUGCUUAGAUAUUACAUGGAAUACCAAUUGCGAA